Molecule: ribosomal RNA, 209 nt
Filed under: Fellhanera subtilis
Lineage: Eukaryota; Fungi; Ascomycota; Lecanoromycetes; Lecanorales; Pilocarpaceae
Description: partial large subunit ribosomal RNA
Source: RNAcentral
GCUUGCGACCAGACCUGCGCGGGGACGAUCAACGGCCGUUCUCGGCCGUGCACUCGCCCCCGAUCAGGCCAGCAUCGGUUCGGGCGGUCGGACAAAGGCCGCGGGAAUGUAGCUCCCCCCGGGGAGUGUUAUAGCCCGUGGUGCAAUGCGGCCAGCCCGGACCGAGGACCGCGCUUCGGCAAGGAUGCUGGCGUAAUGGUCGUCAGCGA